AAAGACUUGUACAAUGAAAACUACAGAACAUUACUGAAAUAAAUUAAAGAAGAUGUAAUAAAUGGAGACACAUCCCAUUUUCAUGGAUUGGAAGACUUGAUAUUGUUAAAAUGUCAGUAUUACCCAAAAGGAUCUACAGACUCAACGCAAUCCCUACCAAAAUCUCAAUGACAUUUUUUGCAGAAGUAUAAAAACCCCACCUAAAAUUCAUUUGGAAUCUCAGGGGACCCCAAAUAGCCAAAACAAUCCUGAAAAAGAAGAUUAAAACUGAAGGACUCUCACUCCCUGAUUUCAAAACCUCCUACAAUGAGAUACCACUUAACAUCCAUCAGGAUGGCUGCUAUCAAAACAACAGAAAUCAACAAUGUUGCUUCAGAUGUGGGGAAAUUGGAGGCCUUGUGCACUGUUAGUGAGAAUGUAAAAUGUAAAAUGGUUCAGCUGCUUUGGAAAACAGUAUGGGAGGUCCUCAAAAAAUUAAAAAUAGAAUUACCAUAUGACCGAGCAAUUCCACUUCUGGGUAUAGAGCCAAAGAAUUGGAAGCAAGGUCUUGAAAAGAUAUUUGUACACCUGUGUUCAUAGCAGCAUUAUUCACAAGAGCUAAAAUGUAGAAGCAACCUAAGCGUCCAUUGAUGGAUGAAUGGAUAAGCAAAAUGUGGUAUAUAGAUACAAUGGAAUACUAGUCAGCCUUAAAAAAUAAAGGAAUUCAUCAGUGUGCUGCAAUGUGGAUGAACCUUCGGGACACGAUGCUAAAUGAAAUAAGUCAGUCACAAAAAGACAAAUGCUGUAUGAUUCCACUUAUGUGAGGUACUUAGAGUACUCAAAACUGUAGAGACAGAAAGUACAAUGAUGGUUGCCAGGGGCUAGGGGGAGGGGAAAUGGGGAGUUACUGUGUAAUAGGUAUAGAGUCUCAGAGUUACAAGAGUUCUGGAGACCGAUGGUGGUGAUGACUGCACAAGAAGGUGAAUAUAGUUACCACCACUGAACUGUACACUUAAAAAUGGUUAAGAUGGUAAGUUUUAUAAUAAGUAUAUUUCAACACAAUAAAAAAAUUACCCCUAGACAAGACACAGCUCUGGGCCUGCCUAAUAAAGCUAAAUGACAAGCUCAAGAAUAUUUGUAGGAAAUAUACAGCACCCAACAAGUUCAGAUCCUGGGCACAGACAUGGCACCACUCAUCAAGCCACGCUGAGGCAGUGUCCCACGUGCCACAACUAGAAGGACCCACAACUAGAAUAUACAACUAUGUACUGGGGGAAUUUGGGGAGAAAAAGCAGAAAAAAAAGAAGAUUGGCAACAGUUGUUAGCUCAGGUGCCGAUCUUUAAAAAGAAAGAAAGAGAGAGAAAGAUCUCAAAUCAAUAACCUAGCUGUGCACCUUGAG
RNAcentral lists this long non-coding RNA (1379 nucleotides) under Equus caballus (horse). RNAcentral describes it as "lncRNA (ENSECAG00000054627.1)". Lineage: Eukaryota; Metazoa; Chordata; Mammalia; Perissodactyla; Equidae. The record is from RNAcentral.